Molecule: long non-coding RNA, 474 nt
Organism: Suricata suricatta (meerkat)
Lineage: Eukaryota; Metazoa; Chordata; Mammalia; Carnivora; Herpestidae
Exons: 3
Source: RefSeq, a predicted model, not a curated record
AGAGUGGAACUUCACAUCCACGGAAAGUUCUGUAAUAGGCGCUCCAGCCUCUCUACACUCAGCCACCAGGCCAAUGGCCAGCCUUGCCAAAACCCCAAGCUACCAGGACGUGGAACUAAAAGCAGGGCAUGCCGGGUCCGGACUUUGACCUUCAAUUGCACCAUCCUUCUCAGCUCCCUGAGUGGCGACUAGGAAAUCCUGAGAUGGCAGCCAGGUGCCAGGUGUGAGUGUGACGUUGCACGAUUUCUACUUCUGGUCCACCCUGGGCUGAGACAGAACCAGGAUGGAGGUGAUGCCCAGCAGACAUAAAGCCUGAGAUCCCUGGUCACAGCCCCAGCUAUCUCAUCUGCAGAAUCGACCUCAUAGACUUGUGAGGAGUACAUUUGUGGACGCAGGCAAAGCUUGGAGCACCUUGUCUAGCAGAUAGCACACGCUCAGUAAAUGCUAGUUAUCGAGGCUGAAUGACGCUGUGGC